GGGGAAUAUUGCACAAUGGGCGAAAGCCUGAUGCAGCAACGCCGCGUGAGUGAUGAAGGCCUUCGGGUUGUAAAGCUCUGUCUUCUGGGACGAUAAUGACGGUACCAGAGGAGGAAGCCACGGCUAACUACGUGCCAGCAGCCGCGGUAAUACGUAGGUGGCAAGCGUUGUCCGGAUUUACUGGGCGUAAAGGAUGCGUAGGCGGAUACUUAAGUCAGAUGUGAAAAUCCCGGGCUUAACUUGGGAACUGCAUUUGAAACUGGGUAUCUAGAGUGCGGGAGAGGAAAGUGGAAUUCCUAGUGUAGCGGUGAAAUGCGUAGAUAUCGGGAGGAACACCCGUGUCGAAGGCGGCUCUCUGGCCUGUAACUGACGCUGAGGCGCGAAAGCGUGGGGAGCAAACA
RNAcentral lists this ribosomal RNA (401 nucleotides) under uncultured bacterium. RNAcentral describes it as "bacterial SSU rRNA". It matches the Rfam family "Bacterial small subunit ribosomal RNA", at positions 356 to 774 of the family's 1533-position model. The record is from RNAcentral.